CCGACCUUAGCUCAGUUGGAAGAGCGCAAGACUGUAAUGGAUGCCCGUGACAUCUUGAUGUCGCCUGUUCGAGCCAGGCAGGUCGGA
This 87-nucleotide transfer RNA is filed under the name Pluteus cervinus. RNAcentral describes it as "tRNA-Tyr". It matches the Rfam family "tRNA". From Rfam's summary of the family: Transfer RNA (tRNA) molecules are approximately 80 nucleotides in length. Their secondary structure includes four short double-helical elements and three loops (D, anti-codon, and T loops). The record is from RNAcentral. Lineage: Eukaryota; Fungi; Basidiomycota; Agaricomycetes; Agaricales; Pluteaceae.